ACUAGUGAUUAGAGUUUGAUCAUGGCUCAGGACGAACGCUGGCGGCGUGCCUAAUACAUGCAAGUCGAGCGAACCAAUAGAAAAGCUUGCUUUUCUUGAGGUUAGCGGCGGACGGGUGAGUAACACGUGGGCAACCUGCCUGUAAGACUGGGAUAACUUACGGAAACGUGAGCUAAUACCGGAUGGUUUCACUUCUACACAUGAGAAGUGAAGGAAAGAUGGCGUCACGCUAUCACUUACAGAUGGGCCCGCGGCGCAUUAGCUAGUUGGUGGGGUAAUGGCCUACCAAGGCGACGAUGCGUASCGACCUGAGAGGGUGAUCGACCACACUGGGACUGAGACACGGCCCAGACUCCUACGGGAGGCAGCAGUAGGGAAUCUUCCGCAAUGGACGAAAGUCUGACGGAGCAACGCCGCGUGAGCAUGAAGGUCUUCGGAUCGUAAAGCUCUGUUGUUAGGGAAGAACAAGUACCGGAGUAACUGUCGGUACUUUGACGGUACCUAACCAGAAAGCCACGGCUAACUACGUGCCAGCAGCCGCGGUAAUACGUAGGUGGCAAGCGUUGUCCGGAAUUAUUGGGCGUAAAGCGCGCGCAGGCGGUCCUUUAAGUCUGAUGUGAAAUCUUGCGGCUCAACCGCAAGCGGUCAUUGGAAACUGGGGGACUUGAGUGCAGGAGAGGAAAGCGGAAUUCCAUGUGUAGCGGUGAAAUGCGUAGAGAUAUGGAGGAACACCAGUGGCGAAGGCGGCUUUCUGGCCUGUAACUGACGCUGAGGCGCGAAAGSUGGGGGAGCAAACAGGAUUAGAUACCCUGGUAGUCCACGCCGUAAACGAUGAGUGCUAAGUGUUGGAGGGUUUCCSCCCUUCAGUGCUGCAGCAAACSCAUUAAGCACUCCSCCUGGGGAGUACGGUCSCAAGAUGAAACUCAAAGGAAUUGACGGGGACCCCACA
This 949-nucleotide ribosomal RNA is filed under the name uncultured bacterium. RNAcentral describes it as "bacterial SSU rRNA". It matches the Rfam family "Bacterial small subunit ribosomal RNA", at positions 1 to 927 of the family's 1533-position model. The record is from RNAcentral.